GGUGGUGUAGCCUAGUGAUGUAACUCUUACCUAGCAUGCAUGAGGCCCUGAGUUUGAUCCUUAGCACUACCA
This 72-nucleotide transfer RNA is filed under the name Marmota monax (woodchuck). RNAcentral describes it as "tRNA.Ala". Lineage: Eukaryota; Metazoa; Chordata; Mammalia; Rodentia; Sciuridae. The record is from RNAcentral.